AUGAGUAUGCUCAGGCCACAGAAGAGGCUUGUCUCUAGUGCUCUCUGCUGUGGGAAAAAGAAGGUCUUGCUGGAUCCCAAUGAGACCAAUGAAAUCGACAAUGUUAACUCCUGUCAGUAGAUCAAGAAGCUGAUCAAAGAUGGGUUGAUCCCCGGGAAGCCUGUGACUGUCCAUUCCCAGGCUCGAUGCUGGAAAAACAGCUUGGCCUGACAGAAGGGCAGGCAUAAGGGCAUAGGAAAGAGGAAGGGUACUGCCAACGCUCGGAUGCCUGAGAAGGUGACCUGGGUGAGAAGGGUGAGGAUCCUGCGCUGGCUUCUCAGGAGAUUCUGGGAAUCUAAGAAGACUGACCGCCAUAUGUAUCACAGCCUGUACUUGAAGGUCAAGGGGAAGGUAUUCAAAGCAAGCGGAUCCUCAUGGAGCACAUCCACAAACUGAAGGCAGACAAGGCCCGCAAGAAGCUCCUGGCUGACCAGGCUGAGGCUCGCAGGUCUAAGACCAAGGAAGCAUGAAAGCCCCGGGAGGAGCGCCUCCAGGCUAAGAAGGAAGAGCUCAUCUAGACUCUGUCCAAGGAGGAAGAAACCAAGAAAUAA
RNAcentral lists this long non-coding RNA (590 nucleotides) under Mus musculus (house mouse). RNAcentral's name for it is "long non-coding RNA chr9:120316327-120316917". The record is from RNAcentral. Lineage: Eukaryota; Metazoa; Chordata; Mammalia; Rodentia; Muridae.